This 500-nucleotide ribosomal RNA is filed under the name uncultured Glomeromycotina. RNAcentral's name for it is "partial small subunit ribosomal RNA". It matches the Rfam family "Eukaryotic small subunit ribosomal RNA", at positions 591 to 1092 of the family's 1831-position model. The record is from RNAcentral. Lineage: Eukaryota; Fungi; Glomeromycota.
CCAAUAGCGUAUAUUAAAGUUGUUGCAGUUAAAAAGCUCGUAGUUGAAUUUCGGGGUCAGUAGGUUGGUCGUGCCACAGGUAUGUACUGGCUUCACUGAUUCCUCCUUCUUGAAGAACUGUGAUGCCAUUAAUUUGGUGUUGCAGGGAAACAGGACUGCUACUUUGAAAAAAUUAGAGUGUUUAAAGCAGGCUAACGCUUGAAUACAUUAGCAUGGAAUAAUGAAAUAGGACGUUUGAUCCUAUUUUGUUGGUUUCUAGGGUCGACGUAAUGAUUAAUAGGGAUAGUUGGGGGCAUUAGUAUUCAAUUGUCAGAGGUGAAAUUCUUGGAUUUAUUGAAGACCAACUACUGCGAAAGCAUUUGCCAAGGAUGUUUUCAUUAAUCAAGAACGAAAGUUAGGGGAUCGAAGACGAUCAGAUACCGUCGUAGUCUUAACCAUAAACUAUGCCGACUAGGGAUCGGAUGAUGUUAAUUUUUUAAUGACUCAUUCGGCGCCUUACG